RNAcentral lists this long non-coding RNA (1138 nucleotides) under Sus scrofa (pig). RNAcentral describes it as "lncRNA (ENSSSCG00025077445.1, ENSSSCG00045009768.1)". Lineage: Eukaryota; Metazoa; Chordata; Mammalia; Artiodactyla; Suidae. The record is from RNAcentral.
AUUUUAUGGCCACAAAAAAAAAAACACGAAGUUCUCGGGCCAAGGAAUGAAUCCUAUGCCACAGCUGUAGCAACGCUGGACCCUUUAACCCACUGCCCUGGGCUGCGGAUUGAACCUGAACCUCUGUAGUGACCUGAACCGCAUCAGAUUCUUUUUUUCUUUUUUAUGGCCACAGCUGCGGCAUAUGAAGUUCCUGGGGUAGGGGUCAAAAUGGAGCUGCAGCUGCAGGCCUACACCAUAGCCACAGCAACACCAGAUCUGAGCUGCACCUGCGACUUUAUACCACAGAUCAUAGCAAUGCAGGAUCCUUAACCCCCUGAGCAAGGCAGGGAUCAAACCCACUGGUUCUUAGCCCACUGAGCCACAGGGGAAAUCCUGCAAUCAGAUUCUUAACCCACUGCACCAAAGAGGGAACUCCAGAAGUGGCUUAUUUUAAGCUGAGUUCAAGAAAUAUACAAUGAUAGGGAGUUCCCAUCAUGGUUCAGUGGCAACAAACCCAACUAGGCUCCAUGAGGAGGUGGGUUUGAUUCCAGACCUCACUCAGUGGGUUAAGGAUCCAGUGUUGCUGUGGUGUAGGUUGCAGAAAGGACUCAGACCCUGUGCUGUUGUGGCUGCAGCAUAGGAUGUCAGCUAUAGCUCUAAUAUGACCCCUAGCCUGGGAACUUCCACAUGCCACGAGUGCAGCCCUAAAAAAGCAAGAAAAUAAAAGUAUAUAAUCCUAAAAUAUGUAAAACUGAAGUUAUACCCAUAUAUACUAUAAUAAAAAAAUUCAUGCUACUCCUAAGGACAAUAUUAUUUUAUGAAGGUGUUUUCGCUACUAUAUAAAUCUUAAUUUUUUUCUUAAUGAUAAAGGUUCAUAUUUUCAAUGUAACUUGAUACUAGGUAUGGGUUAAUAUUUUGUUUUUUAUUUUAUUUUUUGCUUUUUAGGGCCGCAGGUGCAGCAUAUGCAAGUUCCCAGGCUAGAAGUCUAUUUGGAGCUACAGCUGCCAACCUCCACCACAGCCACAGCAACUUGGGAUCCAAGCCAUGUCUGUGACCUACACUACAGCUUUUGGCAAUGCCAAAUCCAUAACCCACUGAGUGAGGCCAGGGAUCAAACCCACAUCCUCAUGGAUACUAGUCAGAUUCGUUUCCACUG